AAAAUGCCUGGGUAUCAUAACCACUUGACUCAGCUAGGAGUUAAUCUUCCUGAUGAUAGUGUCAUUGACAGAGUUCUUCAAUCACUGCCACCAAGCUAUAAAGUCUUCGUGAUGAACUAUAAUAUGCAAAGGAUAGAAAAGACUAUUCCCGAGCUCUUCGAGAUGCUAAAGGCUGCGGAGGUAGAAAUCAAGAAAGAGCAUCAAGUGUUGAUGGUUAACAAGACCACUAGUUUCAAGAAAAAGGGCAAAGGGAAGAAUGGGAACUUCAAGAAGAAUAGCAAGCAAGUUGCUGCUCAAGGGAAGAAGCCCAAGUCCGGACCUAAGCCUGAAACUGAGUGCUUCUACUGCAAAAGGACUGGUCACUGGAAGCGAAACUGCCCCAAGUAUUUGGUGGAUAAGAAGGAUGGGAAAGUGAAAGGUAUAUUUGAUAUACAUGUUAUGGAUGUGUACCUUACCAAUGCUUGUAGUAGCGCCUGG
This 477-nucleotide ribosomal RNA is filed under the name Triticum aestivum (bread wheat). Its description in RNAcentral is "partial small subunit ribosomal RNA". Lineage: Eukaryota; Viridiplantae; Streptophyta; Magnoliopsida; Poales; Poaceae. The record is from RNAcentral.